AGGAAAAUAUGUUACCUAGAAGCU
RNAcentral lists this non-coding RNA (24 nucleotides) under Arabidopsis thaliana (thale cress). The record is from RNAcentral. Lineage: Eukaryota; Viridiplantae; Streptophyta; Magnoliopsida; Brassicales; Brassicaceae.